UACAGAGGUCUCAAGCGUUGUUCGGAUUCAUUGGGCGUAAAGGGCGCGUAGGCGGUCAGCACAAUCCAGUUGUGAAAUCUCCGGGCUCAACUCGGAACGGCCAAGUGAAACUGUCAUGCUAGAGUGCAGAAGGGGCAAUCGGAAUUCUUGGUGUAGCGGUGAAAUGCGUAGAUAUCAAGAGGAACACCAGAGGUGAAGACGGGUUGCUGGGCUGACACUGACGCUGAGGCGCGAAAGCCAGGGGAGCAAACGGG
Molecule: ribosomal RNA, 254 nt
Filed under: uncultured bacterium
Lineage: Bacteria
Description: partial 16S ribosomal RNA
Rfam family: Bacterial small subunit ribosomal RNA
Source: RNAcentral